AGAACUUUUGAUUCCUGGCUCAGGAAUGAAACGCUAGCUACAGGCUUAACACAUGCAAGUCGAGGGGAAAACGAUAGAGAAAGCUUGCUUUUUCUAGGCGUCGACCGGCGCACGGGUGAGUAACGCGUAUCCAACCUGCCCAUCACUUGGGGAUAACCUUGCGAAAGUAAGACUAAUACCCAAUGACGUCUCUAGAAGACAUCUGAAGGAGAUUAAAGAUUUAUCGGUGAUGGAUGGGGAUGCGUCUGAUUAGCUUGUUGGCGGGGUAACGGCCCACCAAGGCGACGAUCAGUAGGGGUUCUGAGAGGAAGGUCCCCCACAUUGGAACUGAGACACGGUCCAAACUCCUACGGGAGGCAGCAGAGAGGAAUAUUGGUCAAUGGACGAGAGUCUGAACCAGCCAAGUAGCGUGCAGGAUGACGGCCCUAUGGGUUGUAAACUGCUUUUAUAAGGGAAUAAAGUGAGUCUCGUGAGACUUUUUGCAUGUACCUUAUGAAUAAGGACCGGCUAAUUCCGUGCCAGCAGCCGCGGUAAUACGGAAGGUCCGGGCGUUAUCCGGAUUUAUUGGGUUUAAAGGGAGCGUAGGCCGGAGAUUAAGCGUGUUGUGAAAUGUAGACGCUCAGCGUCUGCACUGCAGCGCGAACUGGUUUCCUUGAGUACGCACAAAGUGGGCGGAAUUCGUGGUGUAGCGGUGAAAUGCUUAGAUAUCACGAAGAACUCCGAUUGCGAAGGCAGCUCACUGGAGCGCAACUGACGCUGAAGCUCGAAAGUGCGGGUAUCGAACAGGAUUAGAUACCCUGGUAGUCCGCACGGUAAACGAUGGAUGCCCGCUGUUGGUCUGAAUAGGUCAGCGGCC
This 856-nucleotide ribosomal RNA is filed under the name uncultured bacterium. Its description in RNAcentral is "bacterial SSU rRNA". It matches the Rfam family "Bacterial small subunit ribosomal RNA", at positions 1 to 848 of the family's 1533-position model. The record is from RNAcentral. RNAcentral also lists the same sequence under 1 other name.